This 497-nucleotide ribosomal RNA is filed under the name uncultured bacterium. RNAcentral's name for it is "partial 16S ribosomal RNA". It matches the Rfam family "Bacterial small subunit ribosomal RNA", at positions 28 to 507 of the family's 1533-position model. The record is from RNAcentral.
GAUGAACGCUGGCGGCGUGCCUAAUACAUGCAAGUCGAGCGAACAGACGAGGAGCUUGCUCCUCUGACGUUAGCGGCGGACGGGUGAGUAACACGUGGAUAACCUACCUAUAAGACUGGGAUAACUUCGGGAAACCGGAGCUAAUACCGGAUAAUAUAUUGAACCGCAUGGUUCAAUAGUGAAAGACGGUUUUGCUGUCACUUAUAGAUGGAUCCGCGCCGCAUUAGCUAGUUGGUAAGGUAACGGCUUACCAAGGCAACGAUGCGUAGCCGACCUGAGAGGGUGAUCGGCCACCCUGGAACGGAGACCCGGUCCAGACUCCUCCGGGAGGCAGCAGUAGGGAAUCUUCCGCAAUGGGCGAAAGCCUGACGGAGCAACGCCGCGUGAGUGAUGAAGGUCUUCGGAUCGUAAAACUCUGUUAUUAGGGAAGAACAAAUGUGUAAGUAACUAUGCACGUCUUGACGGUACCUAAUCAGAAAGCCACGGCUAACUACGUG